GUUUUUAUUUUCAAUUUUUUUAUUUGAAGUGGUAUAAAUACAAAAUGUAAAGUACAAACAUUUAUGUUACAAAAUAAACUAUUGAUGAACACAAAGAAGCAUGACUAAAUUGCUUUUGGAAGUGGAUGGGUUUGAGUGCUGUUGAACAUCCCGAGCAUUGUUAAGAGGCAAGAUGAAACAACAAAAGAGAUCUUUCCCUGUGCCCUUUAGAGAUGAAUAUACAAACUUUGUUUCACAAACAGUAGUAUGCCACAUACCCACUGCAGGAAAGCCUCAGGCAGCUACUCCGCCCUGGUUCUCACCAUCAACCUCAGGUGGAAGUCAGAAUUCAACCUCACUACAGCACUUACAGAUGGUGCCAAUAUAGCCCAGAGCAUAGAAUAACCUCUGUCCCACCACUACAGGAAUGGGAAGCUGCUGGAAAAAUAUGACUGUACAUAGAUACAUCACUUAUAAAGCAAAACAUUUACAAGACUAAUCAUUCAUCUGUCAGAACCUUGUGGUAAAUCCUAAUUUCCUCAGGUUGCAUGACUAAAAGGAUCCCUGAAUCAGGAGUGAUAUAAACUGCUUCUGAGUCUUUAGAAACGUAAAGGACUGCUUAAGAUUUAUCAUCAUUAUCAACUAAUGUGUAUGGUCAAACUAAAAAUGACAUUUCAAAAUCAAGUGACACAUAUACAGUAUCUCUCAGUGGUCACAGAUUUACAAAAUAAACUAAAUCGUCAAAAAAAGUGGUUAAAACAAAGGUGAAUAAGAAUAAAGGUCUCAGAGUUUAAACUACUGUAAGUAUUGAGGAUUUAUCAGAGCCGUGAUGAGAAAACAGAGUUGUUUUUUAACAGAGUAUCCUCAAAAACAAAGGAAUUCUGAAAGAACUCAUUUAAAAGCGAAACAUUUGACAGGAAAUUAAUUCUUGGAACAAUGUAUCAUCAUUAGUAAUAAUUACACAGAGUGCAUAAAUUAGGGGAGGCGGGUCAAGUGUUUGCAUAUUGCCCAAACAAAAUAUUACAGCCACUCACUACAUCAAAAUGACAGAAGAAAUACUCAUUCGUGGAGGCAUACAAAAUGAUUCUUUCUAAUUUAUAAAAGCAAUGCACUGAUAACUUAAAUUAGCAAUUCAUAUAUUCCUCCCUUGUGCUGUUGUUCUAAAACCUCUAUGCCCUCCGUAAUUCUCUGAGAAUGGCUAAAAGUAACAUGAUUCUAAUGAUUCUAUUCCCCUGUACACUGAACAACAAUUCUCCCAUUACUGUACAUAAGGUCAAAACUGAAUUCUACUGAGAUUUAGAGACAAAUACUAAAAUGGUAGAGUUUAGAGAAAUACUAAAAUGGCAGAAUUUAGAGACAAAUACUAAAAUGUCAAAUACUAAAACGGCAGAAUUUAGAGACAAAUACCUUAAUGGAGGGCAGGAUUCAAGUAGAAAAGGCACUGGUCAGCCAACACCUGACCUGACGGAGUUUGACGCUCGAGGACGCCUCUAGCACCAGGUUAUUUUCGCAGCACCAUUUUGUCAAAGAAUUUGGCUUUUUUUUUACUCACUUUAUAAGCAUUCAUGAAACUGUAAUUACACUACGUAGCUGCUUUAUAAAGCAUUGUUCACAAGCUGGGAACCAACUUGACAAGUGGUGUUGCUUAUUCUACAUGUACUAGUCGCUACAUCAGCUGCUAUCAAUACAAAGCAUUGUACGAGCUACAAGGUAAUCUGGUAGUUAACAAAUGUGUAACAACUGUAUGCUAAAUCAGUACGCUGGUCCAGUCCACGUUGCUACUGGCUGAACCAGACAUAUGACUAAACAACGUGUUCCAGUCCAUGUUGCUACUGGCUGAACCAGACAUAUGACUAAACAACGUGUUCCA
This is a long non-coding RNA of Oncorhynchus tshawytscha (Chinook salmon), 1849 nucleotides long. NCBI's taxonomy places the organism in Eukaryota, Metazoa, Chordata, Actinopteri, Salmoniformes, Salmonidae. The record is from Ensembl.